This is a long non-coding RNA of Suricata suricatta (meerkat), 419 nucleotides long. RefSeq lists it as uncharacterized. The transcript is spliced from 3 exons. The record is from RefSeq and is a predicted model, not a curated record. Lineage: Eukaryota; Metazoa; Chordata; Mammalia; Carnivora; Herpestidae.
UACGGGCACCACUGAAAGAUGAAGAGAAGACUCAUCAGGAGCAGAGUGAUUGGAGGAAAUGGGAAGAGCAAAAAGUUUCACAGGCUCUAAGUAGACGGAGCAUUCUUCCCAAGGGAGCCUGGAUUUCAUAGCAGCUUCAAGAAGAGGACUUUGCCCAGUGGCCUGCAGAAGGCAUCAGUGUUUGGUUUGAGGAAAGUUUCUCAGAUUCAACAGGGGAAUUUCCAGUGCUCUACAACUAUUAGCCUCCUCUUGCCCACCACCACUGCUUCCUCAGAUAUUUGCAUGGGGACCUUCUACCCAAGACAUCUCCAGUUAUGUUAAUCACCAGGUGUGUAAGUUAGGAAUGCUUAUAGAUGGUUCAUAUGUUUGUGUUUGUGUGUGCAUGUAUUUUAUCUACAGAAAGGAUGAUCAUUUCUUAG